GAGACAAUACCACUCCAACACCUGAACCAUGUCUCUAUGUUCCAGUCUGGACCAGUCCUACCAGUCCGACCAGCUGCAUCACAGUGAGCCGUGGUCAGACAGUGGGAACCAUCACACAGACAGUGAACACUCAUUGGUUCAAAAGGUUGAGGCUCCACCCCCCGGUCCCCCUGACAACAGACAGACGACAUCCCUUUUGGUGAGGCUGAGG
This is a long non-coding RNA of Sphaeramia orbicularis (orbiculate cardinalfish), 211 nucleotides long. RefSeq lists it as uncharacterized. NCBI's taxonomy places the organism in Eukaryota, Metazoa, Chordata, Actinopteri, Kurtiformes, Apogonidae. The transcript is spliced from 3 exons. The record is from RefSeq and is a predicted model, not a curated record.